CGGCAGGCCUAACACAUGCAAGUCGAGGGUAGAGUUCUUCGGGACUUGAGACCGGCGCACGGGUGCGUAACGCGUAUGCAAUCUACCUAUACAGGGGAAUAGCCCAGAGAAAUUUGGAUUAAUGCCCCAUAGUGUUAUCGAAUCGCAUGGUUUGAUAACUAAAGUUCCAACGGUAUAAGAUGAGCAUGCGUCCCAUUAGUUAGUUGGUAAGGUAACGGCUUACCAAGACAAUGAUGGGUAGGGGUCCUGAGAGGGAGAUCCCCCACACUGGUACUGAGACACGGACCAGACUCCUACGGGAGGCAGCAGUGAGGAAUAUUGGUCAAUGGGCGCAAGCCUGAACCAGCCAUGCCGCGUGCAGGAAGAAGCAUCUAUGGUGUGUAAACUGCUUUUAUACAGGAAGAAACAACUCUACGUGUAGAGUCUUGACGGUACUGUAGGAAUAAGGAUCGGCUAACUCCGUG
Molecule: ribosomal RNA, 464 nt
Filed under: uncultured bacterium
Lineage: Bacteria
Description: bacterial SSU rRNA
Rfam family: Bacterial small subunit ribosomal RNA
Source: RNAcentral